Molecule: transfer RNA, 72 nt
Filed under: Methanobrevibacter sp.
Lineage: Archaea; Methanobacteriati; Methanobacteriota; Methanobacteria; Methanobacteriales; Methanobacteriaceae
Description: tRNA-Gln
Rfam family: tRNA
About the family: Transfer RNA (tRNA) molecules are approximately 80 nucleotides in length. Their secondary structure includes four short double-helical elements and three loops (D, anti-codon, and T loops).
Source: RNAcentral
UGGGGUAUAGCCAAGCGGUACGGCCGUGGCCUUUGAAGCCUCUAUUCCCUGGUUCAAAUCCAGGUACCCCAA